This 1015-nucleotide long non-coding RNA is filed under the name Populus tremula. RNAcentral's name for it is "long non-coding RNA (PTRE_LNC003115)". The record is from RNAcentral. Lineage: Eukaryota; Viridiplantae; Streptophyta; Magnoliopsida; Malpighiales; Salicaceae.
AUACAAAUACAAAUACAACUUCAAAUUCAAAAUAAAUAAAUAAAAAUUACAUUAAUUAAUUUAAAAGUUACAAGAAACAGUCCCUAAAAUUCUAAAAAUUUCGAGGGACUUCUGCAGCGGGAACAGUGUUCGUCAUGGUUUCUGGGCUCGGUAACAGUGCGGCGCGUGGACCUCACGCACCACCGCCACUGGCGGCGCGUUGGUCCACGCGCCGCCGUGAAAACAACCGAAAAUGGGGGGGGCUGUAAUGGCUUAUUCCUCUCUUCAAUCCCCUACUGUCCGUCACCUGCAAAUCUCAAACAAAACCCCACAUCCAGUCGAUUUUAAUUUUUUCUUUACUUUUCAGAUCUGAUUAUCCCUUCCUCUCUUUUUUUUGGUGCGUUUUCCUCUGCUGGUGACAGAUCCAGCUUCUGUGGCCGCUGUUGGGCAGUUUUGGCGGCGGGGAUGCUGCUGCGGUGGAGAUGUUUCCUCGGUGGUGAGCAGAUCGGGUCCAUGGGGAGGAGCUGCUGCGGUUGGCGGACGACGUUGAUGGUCCAGAGGAGGAGGAGACACUGCUGAGAAGGGGAGAUUCUGUUGCUGGGUCUGUGGCCGUUGGUCUUUUUCAGGUGAGAGAGGGCAGAUUUGUGGCUUGGGGAAACGGAGUGGCUGCUCCGGUUAGGUUUUGAAAGAGAGGGGGGGCUGUCGGUUUGCUGCUGGCUAAAAAAAAAAGGCCAGGGGUGGCUCUGUUUCUCUGGUUUCGGCUGGAGAAGGAGCGGUUGCUUUGGUUGGUGAAGAGAGGAGAUCGGAGAGGAGAGGGAGAGUGUAGGUGGCGGCUGGUUUGUUUGGCUGAGGGCGAGGGAGAGUGGGAGGAGAUGGUGAGGCGGCUGUGGCUGUUCCGGUUAGAGGGGUGUGUGUCCACGGCUGGGAAGGAAAAAAACGAGGGAGGGGCUGCUGUGAUGCCGGUGACAAAGCUGGCAGCCGAGUGAGGGAGAGAAGAAAAUUAAAACCGGGGGGGGGUUUCUGUGAGAAGAAGAAA